UACGAAGGGGGCUAGCGUUGCUCGGAAUUACUGGGCGUAAAGCGCGCGUAGGUGGCCCGGUAAGUCCGCUCUGAAAGUCACAGGCUCAACCUGUGAAAGCGGGUGGAUACUGCCGGGCUAGAGUCCGGAAGAGGCGAGUGGAAUUCCUGGUGUAGCGGUGGAAUGCGCAGAUAUCAGGAGGAACACCAACGGCGAAGGCAGCUCGCUGGGACGGUACUGACACUGAGGCGCGAAAGCGUGGGGAGCGAACAGG
Molecule: ribosomal RNA, 253 nt
Filed under: uncultured bacterium
Lineage: Bacteria
Description: partial 16S ribosomal RNA
Rfam family: Bacterial small subunit ribosomal RNA
Source: RNAcentral